Molecule: ribosomal RNA, 1549 nt
Filed under: Lactiplantibacillus pentosus
Lineage: Bacteria; Bacillati; Bacillota; Bacilli; Lactobacillales; Lactobacillaceae
Description: Lactobacillus pentosus 16S ribosomal RNA
Rfam family: Bacterial small subunit ribosomal RNA
Source: RNAcentral
AGAGUUUGAUCAUGGCUCAGGACGAACGCUGGCGGCGUGCCUAAUACAUGCAAGUCGAACGAACUCUGGUAUUGAUUGGUGCUUGCAUCAUGAUUUACAUUUGAGUGAGUGGCGAACUGGUGAGUAACACGUGGGAAACCUGCCCAGAAGCGGGGGAUAACACCUGGAAACAGAUGCUAAUACCGCAUAACAACUUGGACCGCAUGGUCCGAGUUUGAAAGAUGGCUUCGGCUAUCACUUUUGGAUGGUCCCGCGGCGUAUUAGCUAGAUGGUGGGGUAACGGCUCACCAUGGCAAUGAUACGUAGCCGACCUGAGAGGGUAAUCGGCCACAUUGGGACUGAGACACGGCCCAAACUCCUACGGGAGGCAGCAGUAGGGAAUCUUCCACAAUGGACGAAAGUCUGAUGGAGCAACGCCGCGUGAGUGAAGAAGGGUUUCGGCUCGUAAAACUCUGUUGUUAAAGAAGAACAUAUCUGAGAGUAACUGUUCAGGUAUUGACGGUAUUUAACCAGAAAGCCACGGCUAACUACGUGCCAGCAGCCGCGGUAAUACGUAGGUGGCAAGCGUUGUCCGGAUUUAUUGGGCGUAAAGCGAGCGCAGGCGGUUUUUUAAGUCUGAUGUGAAAGCCUUCGGCUCAACCGAAGAAGUGCAUCGGAAACUGGGAAACUUGAGUGCAGAAGAGGACAGUGGAACUCCAUGUGUAGCGGUGAAAUGCGUAGAUAUAUGGAAGAACACCAGUGGCGAAGGCGGCUGUCUGGUCUGUAACUGACGCUGAGGCUCGAAAGUAUGGGUAGCAAACAGGAUUAGAUACCCUGGUAGUCCAUACCGUAAACGAUGAAUGCUAAGUGUUGGAGGGUUUCCGCCCUUCAGUGCUGCAGCUAACGCAUUAAGCAUUCCGCCUGGGGAGUACGGCCGCAAGGCUGAAACUCAAAGGAAUUGACGGGGGCCCGCACAAGCGGUGGAGCAUGUGGUUUAAUUCGAAGCUACGCGAAGAACCUUACCAGGUCUUGACAUACUAUGCAAAUCUAAGAGAUUAGACGUUCCCUUCGGGGACAUGGAUACAGGUGGUGCAUGGUUGUCGUCAGCUCGUGUCGUGAGAUGUUGGGUUAAGUCCCGCAACGAGCGCAACCCUUAUUAUCAGUUGCCAGCAUUAAGUUGGGCACUCUGGUGAGACUGCCGGUGACAAACCGGAGGAAGGUGGGGAUGACGUCAAAUCAUCAUGCCCCUUAUGACCUGGGCUACACACGUGCUACAAUGGAUGGUACAACGAGUUGCGAACUCGCGAGAGUAAGCUAAUCUCUUAAAGCCAUUCUCAGUUCGGAUUGUAGGCUGCAACUCGCCUACAUGAAGUCGGAAUCGCUAGUAAUCGCGGAUCAGCAUGCCGCGGUGAAUACGUUCCCGGGCCUUGUACACACCGCCCGUCACACCAUGAGAGUUUGUAACACCCAAAGUCGGUGGGGUAACCUUUUAGGAACCAGCCGCCUAAGGUGGGACAGAUGAUUAGGGUGAAGUCGUAACAAGGUAGCCGUAGGAGAACCUGCGGUUGGA